RNAcentral lists this transfer RNA (69 nucleotides) under Ommatotriton ophryticus ophryticus. Its description in RNAcentral is "tRNA-Ala". It matches the Rfam family "tRNA". Rfam says of the family: Transfer RNA (tRNA) molecules are approximately 80 nucleotides in length. The record is from RNAcentral. Lineage: Eukaryota; Metazoa; Chordata; Amphibia; Caudata; Salamandridae.
GAGGUUUUCGCUUAAUUAAAGCGUCUGGGUUGCAUUCAGAAGAUGUGGGGUAGAGUCCUGCAGAUCUUA